AACAAGGCGUACCUGCGGACCUGCGGAGGGAUCAUUACAGAGUGUAAAAACUCCCAAAACCCAUGUGAACAUACCUUUUUGUUGCUUCGGCGGGAUCGCCCCGGGCGCCUUGUGUGCCCCGGAGUCAGGCGCCCGCCGGGGGACCCAAACUCUUGUUUUUAACGAGUAUCUUCUGAGUAACGUUUUUAAAUAAAUAAAAACUUUCAACAACGGAUCU
This 217-nucleotide unclassified non-coding RNA is filed under the name soil metagenome. RNAcentral describes it as "partial contains 5.8S ribosomal RNA, internal transcribed spacer 2, and large subunit ribosomal RNA". The record is from RNAcentral.